AAACCUGAUGGCACGGUGGUCAGGUAAAUAGUAUCCCAGCAUUGACAAGAAAAGCUACCUGCUCCAAUGCUCCCAUCCAGCAACAUUAGGUUACCAUCUAUUUUAUUUCCCCCUGCAAGUAGAGCGCAUAUCAUCUAGUAUCACUCAAGGUUUGGUUUCUGUUGGAGUGAGCACCUGACCUAGUCCACAGGGGUAUCCCCACCCACCCUCAGCUGCCUGCGACCAGCAGAGACGUGCUUCGUCAUUGCAAGACGCGUCACUGGAAUACUCGGAUCAAUAUGCUGUAACUUCUGAAGGCGUCGGGAAACACUUGAAUUAUGAUGGCGGAAUAAUACCAGGAAGAAAACAGGAAGAAACGUCUCACCUCUCAGAAGCCAGACCAGAGCUGCUCACCUGGCCUUUAGCAGAGAAUCUAGAUGUUACCUAGUGAAGACAAUGGAGGAGGCAGUCAUGCAGGAGGCAGCAGCAGACACAAGACGUCUCAUCUGGUCCAUUAACACCAUGUCUGUUUCCUGACUAUUACCAUUGAGAUUACGCUACAUUAAAAGACCCAGAGGAGAUCCUGAGCACUG
Molecule: long non-coding RNA, 572 nt
Organism: Oncorhynchus tshawytscha (Chinook salmon)
Lineage: Eukaryota; Metazoa; Chordata; Actinopteri; Salmoniformes; Salmonidae
Source: Ensembl